AUGCUGGAGGUAUCAGAAGUGCGAAUGCUGACAUAAGUAACGAUAAAGCGGGUGAAAAGCCCGCUCGCCGGAAGACCAAGGGUUCCUGUCCAACGUUAAUCGGGGCAGGGUGAGUCGACCCCUAAGGCGAGGCCGAAAGGCGUAGUCGAUGGGAAACAGGUUAAUAUUCCUGUACUUGGUGUUACUGCGAAGGGGGGACGGAGAAGGCUAUGUUGGCCGGGCGACGGUUGUCCCGGUUUAAGCGUGUAGGCUGGUUUUCCAGGCAAAUCCGGAAAAUCAAGGUUGAGGCGUGAUGACGAGGCACUACGGUGCUGAAGCAACAAAUGCCCUGCUUCCAGGAAAAGCCUCUAAGCAUCAGGUAACAUCAAAUCGUACCCCAAACCGACACAGGUGGUCAGGUAGAGAAUACCAAGGCGCUUGAGAGAACUCGGGUGAAGGAACUAGGCAAAAUGGUGCCGUAACUUCGGGAGAAGGCACGCUGAUACGUAGGUGAAGUCCCUUGCGGAUGGAGCUGAAAUCAGUCGAAGAUACCAGCUGGCUGCAACUGUUUAUUAAAAACACAGCACUGUGCAAACACGAAAGUGGACGUAUACGGUGUGACGCCUGCCCGGUGCCGGAAGGUUAAUUGAUGGGGUUAGCGGUAACGCGAAGCUCUUGAUCGAAGCCCCGGUAAACGGCGGCCGUAACUAUAACGGUCCUAAGGUAGCGAAAUUCCUUGUCGGGUAAGUUCCGACCUGCACGAAUGGCGUAAUGAUGGCCAGGCUGUCUCCACCCGAGACUCAGUGAAAUUGAACUCGCUGUGAAGAUGCAGUGUACCCGCGGCAAGACGGAAAGACCCCGUGAACCUUUACUAUAGCUUGACACUGAACAUUGAGCCUUGAUGUGUAGGAUAGGUGGGAGGCUUUGAAGUGUGGACGCCAGUCUGCAUGGAGCCGGCCUUGAAAUACCACCCUUUAAUGUUUGAUGUUCUAACGUUGACCCGUUAUCCGGGUUGCGGACAGUGUCUGGUGGGUAGUUUGACUGGGGCGGUCUCCUCCUAAAGAGUAACGGAGGAGCACGAAGGUUGGCUAAUCCUGGUCGGACAUCAGGAGGUUAGUGCAAUGGCAUAAGCCAGCUUGACUGCGAGCGUGACGGCGCGAGCAGGUGCGAAAGCAGGUCAUAGUGAUCCGGUGGUUCUGAAUGGAAGGGCCAUCGCUCAACGGAUAAAAGGUACUCCGGGGAUAACAGGCUGAUACCGCCCAAGAGUUCAUAUCGACGGCGGUGUUUGGCACCUCGAUGUCGGCUCAUCACAUCCUGGGGCUGAAGUAGGUCCCAAGGGUAUGGCUGUUCGCCAUUUAAAGUGGUACGCGAGCUGGGUUUAGAACGUCGUGAGACAGUUCGGUCCCUAUCUGCCGUGGGCGCUGGAGAACUGAGGGGGGCUGCUCCUAGUACGAGAGGACCGGAGUGGACGCAUCACUGGUGUUCGGGUUGUCAUGCCAAUGGCACUGCCCGGUAGCUAAAUGCGGAAGAGAUAAGUGCUGAAAGCAUCUAAGCACGAAACUUGCCCCGAGAUGAGUUCUCCCUGACUCCUUGAGAGUCCUGAAGGAACGUUGAAGACGACGACGUUGAUAGGCCGGGUGUGUAAGCGCAGCGAUGCGUUGAGCUAACCGGUACUAAUGAACCGUGAGGCUUAACCUU
Molecule: ribosomal RNA, 1677 nt
Filed under: Escherichia coli KTE54
Lineage: Bacteria; Pseudomonadati; Pseudomonadota; Gammaproteobacteria; Enterobacterales; Enterobacteriaceae
Description: bacterial LSU rRNA
Rfam family: Bacterial large subunit ribosomal RNA
Source: RNAcentral